GAAAGAACGUAGCGAAAUGCGAUACUUGGUGUGAAUUGCAGAAUCCCGUGAACCAUCGAGUCUUUGAACGCAAGUUGCGCCCGAAGCCUCGGCUAAGGGCACGUCUGCCUGGGCGUCACGCAUCGCGUCUCCCCCAAACCGCCAAGGCGGAGGGGAAGGAAGAUGGCUUCCCGUGCCUCACCCGGCGCGGUUGGCCUAAAUUUGGAGCCCGCGGCACUUAGCUCUCGCGGCGAUAGGUGGUGAACAAGGCCUUGGCCGUGCAAACAACCCGCUGCGAAGCUCUAUGUCACGUGCGCUCGUCGGACCCUUUGAAGUUGCCUUCGGUGACUUAAAACCUUUGCGACCCCAGGUCAGGCGGGGCUACCCGCUGAAUUUAAGCAUAUCAAUAAGCGGAGGA
Molecule: unclassified non-coding RNA, 397 nt
Filed under: soil metagenome
Description: partial contains 5.8S ribosomal RNA, internal transcribed spacer 2, and large subunit ribosomal RNA
Rfam family: 5.8S ribosomal RNA (bases 3-118)
Source: RNAcentral